GAUUGCAGGCUGCAACUCGCCUGCAUGAAGUCGGAAUUGCUAGUAAUCGCGGAUCAGCAUGCCGCGGUGGAUACGUUCCCGGGCCUUGUACACACCGCCCGUCACACCAUGAGAGCCGGUAACACCCGAAGUCAGUAGUCUAACCGCAAGGGGGACGCUGCCGAAGGUGGGGCUGGUGAUUGGGGUGAAGUCGUAACAAGGUACC
RNAcentral lists this ribosomal RNA (205 nucleotides) under uncultured bacterium. RNAcentral describes it as "partial 16S ribosomal RNA". It matches the Rfam family "Bacterial small subunit ribosomal RNA", at positions 1296 to 1500 of the family's 1533-position model. The record is from RNAcentral.